Molecule: ribosomal RNA, 814 nt
Filed under: Curtobacterium sp. 83NP25
Lineage: Bacteria; Bacillati; Actinomycetota; Actinomycetes; Micrococcales; Microbacteriaceae
Description: bacterial SSU rRNA
Rfam family: Bacterial small subunit ribosomal RNA
Source: RNAcentral
GCUUGCUGGGUGGAUUAGUGGCGAACGGGUGAGUAACACGUGAGUAACCUGCCCCUGACUCUGGGAUAAGCGUUGGAAACGACGUCUAAUACUGGAUAUGAUCACUGGCCGCAUGGUCUGGUGGUGGAAAGAUUUUUUGGUUGGGGAUGGACUCGCGGCCUAUCAGCUUGUUGGUGAGGUAAUGGCUCACCAAGGCGACGACGGGUAGCCGGCCUGAGAGGGUGACCGGCCACACUGGGACUGAGACACGGCCCAGACUCCUACGGGAGGCAGCAGUGGGGAAUAUUGCACAAUGGGCGAAAGCCUGAUGCAGCAACGCCGCGUGAGGGAUGACGGCCUUCGGGUUGUAAACCUCUUUUAGUAGGGAAGAAGCGAAAGUGACGGUACCUGCAGAAAAAGCACCGGCUAACUACGUGCCAGCAGCCGCGGUAAUACGUAGGGUGCAAGCGUUGUCCGGAAUUAUUGGGCGUAAAGAGCUCGUAGGCGGUUUGUCGCGUCUGCUGUGAAAUCCCGAGGCUCAACCUCGGGCUUGCAGUGGGUACGGGCAGACUAGAGUGCGGUAGGGGAGAUUGGAAUUCCUGGUGUAGCGGUGGAAUGCGCAGAUAUCAGGAGGAACACCGAUGGCGAAGGCAGAUCUCUGGGCCGUAACUGACGCUGAGGAGCGAAAGCAUGGGGAGCGAACAGGAUUAGAUACCCUGGUAGUCCAUGCCGUAAACGUUGGGCGCUAGAUGUAGGGACCUUUCCACGGUUUCUGUGUCGUAGCUAACGCAUUAAGCGCCCCGCCUGGGGAGUACGGCCGCAAGGCUAAACUCAA